GCUGAUCACUAACCGGAUCAUCUUCUCAAUGGGAGGCUGGUCAAGGUACCAAGUCAAUCCUUUUGUCUCCACGGGACACAUGUGACUGAUAGUCCAGAGGUAUAACAACUGAGAGCAACACUUAAUGAACCCUUUCCCCUGUUGUCUGCAGUAAGUUAGGGUUAACAAGGUUUCAGCAAGGAUUGCCGGUAUCGGGUUGAUCCCCUGCCUUUCUACUGUCCAAAAUACCUCUACUGCACUGCUAGUGAUGAUCCCCAAUGGCCCCGGGAACAGGAUCAGACCAUAGAUUCCCAAGGCGAGUGCUACGGAAGCUUGAUCCCAUCGUUUCUCUUGGAGGCGAUGAUCUAACCGCUUCUCAAGGUACGUCCAAUACCAUCCAUACGUGUUCCCUUUGACUGUUUCUCUGGACUUUACUUCUUCUGGGGGAAAACCCAACAUGUGUGCCAACCGUUUCCAGGUCUGUCUAUGCUCGAGGUGUAAGUAGAUCCGGUUCUGCAAGGAGUAUGGGAUCCCUAGCAAUGCCUGAUAUUCUUCCAUAGUGGGGACUGUGUCAAUAUCAUUGAAAGAGAAUACUCCGUACUUAGGAUUCCAAACCGACAACAUGGCUUUUAAUGCCGGGAUUUGGACCUUGACUUGCAUUAAGGUUGCAAUCCUCCCGUACUUCUCUUCAAAACGUGCCUUGGCCUGAUCGGGAAGCGACCUCCAUCCGUUAGACAGACCCUCUAGGCUAUUCAUUCUGACCUCUAUUUUAUUCAGAUCUAGCAAAGGUAGCGAGCUAGCAGGUGCCUCGGAAGCAUCAUUUUGCGAGGGUACCGGACUAUGAGCUGAUUCGGACCAAAGUUUAACAUUCUGAACCUUUUCUGCCGACUGACUCGAGGAUGCCAUGUUAAAAAUGAUGCUUAUCCUUUUACAGACCUUAUUUUGGUGAUGCCUGCGGGAAGAUUCGUUAGUAAGACAAAUUAGGGUAAUUUUGAAUCAUACUGUUGACAGAGUGACACGUACACAUUUAUCAAAGUAGGAAAAUGUGUAAGUGUUUCAGUAGAAUUCAAGAUUACCCUCACAAAAUGAACGAAAAGAAAUCGAAAGAGAGCAAGGUAAGAGUAAACAUGUCCCUUUUUGUCCUAUAAUAGGGAGACUCCUGAUACCGGGUAAGCGCUACCUAUCUGGAUGGUUCUAUCUUAUGAGGCAGUUUACUACGGCUUUCAGCUAUUGUGACGGUUUAGCUCAGGAUCUAAUUUUUCUAAUAGCCACAGGUUCCCAAAUUGCCCCUACUGUAAACAGUAGAGCCCCAUUCUACCCCCAUGAUAUUGUCGGGAAAAUUCCACGAGUAUCACAAUGGAUAGAACGAGUUUCAAUUUGAGCAGGAGCCUUCACGGAUACUAACGGGGUAAAACCCACGGGCACCGCUACAUGACCCCCUCCUACUUUCCUAAAAGGGUAAGAAAGCCCGGGUUAGGACCAUAGUGUGUGAGGACAUUGUGUGAGUGUUCGGUGUGUGAAGGGACACUUUUACCUCUUCCCAAUUCAGGGGGAUUUUAUUUUUCCAUUUUUCCUUUUUUCCUUUUUCUUUGAAAUGAAGAGCACUGUAGGAGGGAAUAAAACAGGCAAAACAAACACAACGGUUAGCAGCAAUAAUAAUCAACGUAUAAAACAUCGUCGAGUGAGCCCAUCUAACUAUAAUUUGAUCGGACAAAAAUCAAACCUACUUUUGGACCUCUAGACUGGGAUUGAAUAUAGAUCCCCAGUGGAGUCGCCAAGCUGUCGCAACGGGAUUUUGCGGUCGCCCGGACGAUCACUCACCGAAGUGGGAAAAAGUGAGGAGUCGCCACCUUAGUUU
This 1837-nucleotide unclassified non-coding RNA is filed under the name Hevea brasiliensis (rubber tree). The record is from RNAcentral. Lineage: Eukaryota; Viridiplantae; Streptophyta; Magnoliopsida; Malpighiales; Euphorbiaceae.